RNAcentral lists this ribosomal RNA (500 nucleotides) under uncultured bacterium. RNAcentral describes it as "partial 16S ribosomal RNA". It matches the Rfam family "Bacterial small subunit ribosomal RNA", at positions 30 to 523 of the family's 1533-position model. The record is from RNAcentral.
AUUGAACGCUGGCGGAAUGCUUUACACAUGCAAGUCGAACGGCAGCACGGACUUCGGUCUGGUGGCGAGUGGCGAACGGGUGAGUAAUACAUCGGAACGUGCCCAGUCGUGGGGGAUAACGUAGCGAAAGCUACGCUAAUACCGCAUACGAUCUAAGGAUGAAAGCGGGGGAUCGCAAGACCUCGCGCGAUUGGAGCGGCCGAUGGCAGAUUAGGUAGUUGGUAGGGUAAAGGCCUACCAAGCCGACGAGCUGUAGCUGGUCUGAGAGGAUGAUCAGCCACACUGGGACUGAGACACGGCCCAGACUCCUACGGGAGGCAGCAGUGGGGAAUUUUGGACAAUGGGCGCAAGCCUGAUCCAGCCAUUCCGCGUGCAGGAUGAAGGCCUUAGGGUUGUAAACUGCUUUUGUACAGAACGAAAAGGCUCUGGUUAAUACCCGGGGCUCAUGACGGUACUGUAAGUAUAAGCACCGGCUAACUACGUGCCAGCAGCCGCCGUAA